RNAcentral lists this long non-coding RNA (2165 nucleotides) under Ailuropoda melanoleuca (giant panda). Its description in RNAcentral is "lncRNA (ENSAMEG00000024480.1)". The record is from RNAcentral. Lineage: Eukaryota; Metazoa; Chordata; Mammalia; Carnivora; Ursidae.
UCUGGAAAAGGCCCCAGGCAUCGUGGGUCGGUGGGUUCCUCCCACAUAGGUUCCCAUUUUCCUGCCACCCCCCACCUAGCCUCUAUUUCCUCCUCCCCCCUCUCCCCCUCACUGGCUUCCCCACAGUCCCGUCUCCAUGGCAACUUGAGGAGGCCAGCUUUCCUGCCCCCACCUGGCCUAGCGGAGGAGCCCUGGGGGUGGGAUGCCAGCAGCAGCCCGGGCUCUCCUGGCAUCCCCACCCUUGCUCUGAGAAGUGAGGGAUCUCAGAGGAGGCCCCAGGGACCCUGUCGGGCCUCCUGCUUUCCCACUGUUGCCUUGGUUACAGUGCCCCUCCAGGCUCUUCUCCCCUUCCCACUCUUCCUCCUGCCUUUCUCCCUCCUCCCUCCGCCUUUCCUUCAUCCUUCUCUCUCUGCCCAGCCCAGAAGCUUCCGCAACUGCCAGCUGAGGCCUCCCCUUGCCGCCCCAGCACAGACAAAGGGAGAAGAGGCAAGGCCUGGCCGUCUUUCCUCGUGGGGACCCUCUGUCCUGCCUGACCACCCAACUCCCUGCCUCAACUCCCCAGGCCUUACCCAAAAGCCACAGAAGAGGGGCAGGACCCUUGGUAGCCACUGUGGCCCACCUCACACCACCCCAGUCUCAGCAACUGCACUUACCUCGAAUCUCCAGGUUCCUGGGGCGGGCCGAGGAGAUGGGCCGGGGGCAUCUUCGUUCCAGGCUUGGGAAUCUGGACAGGGGACUGAUGAGACUGGCCUCACCUUCCAGCGCCCCCCACCCUGCAAUGACUUACUCUUUUCCCCAAUAUAAUAAAGCAGCUGCAUUUUUACAGUGGGUCUUACUGCUUCAUUGGACUCAGAGGAGCCAUUCACGAUGAGCCUUUCCAACACUGCAGCAGGGCCAGUGAGGUCGGCAUUUUGAAAACAAGGGGCCCACCGUGACUUACCUACACUUCUAGGGGGUGGAAGGGGUGGCCCCAACCUGCAAUCAGACUCUAGUCAAUCCGCACUGCUCCCAGGCCAUUCACACCUGAGACUAUGUGAGUGGCGCCCCGUGGAGUUGUGUGCCAGUAGCCUGGGACCAGCUCAGCAGGAAGAACAGUCUGGGGGUAGAGCUAGUGCCUGGUGGGUAUGUGAGCUGGUGCCCCAGUGAAGCCAGUAGUGGGGGAGCCCUGGUGCUCACAGUGGGGUGGAGGUAGGUGAAUGGUCUCACUGGGCAGGUAGGGCUGUGCCCAGGAAGGGGGCAGCGAGGUAGAGACAAGAGAGGAGGCAGAGGACUCACCGGAGCUUGCUUCCCCUGAACUGGUCCUGGAAAGAAUCAGGGGGUAGUCAGUGUAACCGGGAUGCCUCUCCCUGGGAGAAGUCCUGGGCCCCCAGGGGUGGUGGGCACAUCUGUGCGCCUGGGGCUGCCCCAGAACAAACUCUCACCAUGGCUGGCCUGAAGGAGCUAUGAUUCCCGGGAGCCCAGGCUCUACCACAAAUGGCCUAGGGACAGAGGCCCUAUUAUUCUCAUCAUUUGCAUCUGACAAGCACCAGGAAUGUGGGUGUGCUGUGGCCUCUAACCUCAGACCAAGUUGCCCCAGGAGGCUCCCAUAAGCUCCUCUCUGUUGCCUUCCACAGCUGCGGUCCCUGGUCUCCAGCCCCCCCUGCCCCACUGGAGAAGAGCUCUCCCCUCUGCUCCAGGGCCUCAGGCCCAAAAACUGGACCAGUGCUCAGAAGCUUCCUGUAGCUCUCUGAUCGGUGCCCCCAGGAGGCUCCAACUCACCCCUCCACCAGCCAGACUGUCCUUUCCCAACACACAGAACAUUAAUGGGCAGGUCAGGUUGAAAAUGAGAGACUGUCCUUGCACUUUUCUUAAACGCUUUACACUUGCUAUCCUUCCCUGGUGAAUGGUGACCAAUGAUCAAAGAAACAGAGGUCAGUGAAAAGCUCAGAAAUAUGCAUGUGUAUUUAGUUUGACAGCUUCCUUUCUGGAUGGCUGUAUUUAUUCAUUGAGUAAAUAUUUAUUGAAUAUCCUCUCUAUGCCAGGCACUGUUCCAGGUGCUGAAGAUGUUGUAGAAAAACCAAAGGAAUCAUGUGUAUUUCCUGCUGGAUCGUCACAAUGGCCUCAUGAUGCUGAUGUGAGUUUAUCCCUGCAGUUGAGAUGAGGGAAGUGAGCGUAUGAGUCAGAGC